Molecule: ribosomal RNA, 2779 nt
Filed under: Escherichia coli
Lineage: Bacteria; Pseudomonadati; Pseudomonadota; Gammaproteobacteria; Enterobacterales; Enterobacteriaceae
Description: partial 23S ribosomal RNA
Rfam family: Bacterial large subunit ribosomal RNA
Source: RNAcentral
UUCGACACACUAUCAUUAACUGAAUCCAUAGGUUAAUGAGGCGAACCGGGGGAACUGAAACAUCUAAGUACCCCGAGGAAAAGAAAUCAACCGAGAUUCCCCCAGUAGCGGCGAGCGAACGGGGAGGAGCCCAGAGCCUGAAUCAGUGUGUGUGUUAGUGGAAGCGUCUGGAAAGGCGCGCGAUACAGGGUGACAGCCCCGUACACAAAAAUGCACAUACUGUGAGCUCGAUGAGUAGGGCGGGACACGUGGUAUCCUGUCUGAAUAUGGGGGGACCAUCCUCCAAGGCUAAAUACUCCUGACUGACCGAUAGUGAACCAGUACCGUGAGGGAAAGGCGAAAAGAACCCCGGCGAGGGGAGUGAAAAAGAACCUGAAACCGUGUACGUACAAGCAGUGGGAGCCUCUUAAUGGGGUGACUGCGUACCUUUUGUAUAAUGGGUCAGCGACUUAUAUUCUGUAGCAAGGUUAACCGAAUAGGGGAGCCGAAGGGAAACCGAGUCUUAACUGGGCGUUAAGUUGCAGGGUAUAGACCCGAAACCCGGUGAUCUAGCCAUGGGCAGGUUGAAGGUUGGGUAACACUAACUGGAGGACCGAACCGACUAAUGUUGAAAAAUUAGCGGAUGACUUGUGGCUGGGGGUGAAAGGCCAAUCAAACCGGGAGAUAGCUGGUUCUCCCCGAAAGCUAUUUAGGUAGCGCCUCGUGAAUUCAUCUCCGGGGGUAGAGCACUGUUUCGGCAAGGGGGUCAUCCCGACUUACCAACCCGAUGCAAACUGCGAAUACCGGAGAAUGUUAUCACGGGAGACACACGGCGGGUGCUAACGUCCGUCGUGAAGAGGGAAACAACCCAGACCGCCAGCUAAGGUCCCAAAGUCAUGGUUAAGUGGGAAACGAUGUGGGAAGGCCCAGACAGCCAGGAUGUUGGCUUAGAAGCAGCCAUCAUUUAAAGAAAGCGUAAUAGCUCACUGGUCGAGUCGGCCUGCGCGGAAGAUGUAACGGGGCUAAACCAUGCACCGAAGCUGCGGCAGCGACACUAUGUGUUGUUGGGUAGGGGAGCGUUCUGUAAGCCUGUGAAGGUGUACUGUGAGGUAUGCUGGAGGUAUCAGAAGUGCGAAUGCUGACAUAAGUAACGAUAAAGCGGGUGAAAAGCCCGCUCGCCGGAAGACCAAGGGUUCCUGUCCAACGUUAAUCGGGGCAGGGUGAGUCGACCCCUAAGGCGAGGCCGAAAGGCGUAGUCGAUGGGAAACAGGUUAAUAUUCCUGUACUUGGUGUUACUGCGAAGGGGGGACGGAGAAGGCUAUGUUGGCCGGGCGACGGUUGUCCCGGUUUAAGCGUGUAGGCUGGUUUUCCAGGCAAAUCCGGAAAAUCAAGGCUGAGGCGUGAUGACGAGGCACUACGGUGCUGAAGCGACAAAUGCCCUGCUUCCAGGAAAAGCCUCUAAGCAUCAGGUAACAUCAAAUCGUACCCCAAACCGACACAGGUGGUCAGGUAGAGAAUACCAAGGCGCUUGAGAGAACUCGGGUGAAGGAACUAGGCAAAAUGGUGCCGUAACUUCGGGAGAAGGCACGCUGAUAUGUAGGUGAAGCGACUUGCUCGUGGAGCUGAAAUCAGUCGAAGAUACCAGCUGGCUGCAACUGUUUAUUAAAAACACAGCACUGUGCAAACACGAAAGUGGACGUAUACGGUGUGACGCCUGCCCGGUGCCGGAAGGUUAAUUGAUGGGGUUAGCGGUAACGCGAAGCUCUUGAUCGAAGCCCCGGUAAACGGCGGCCGUAACUAUAACGGUCCUAAGGUAGCGAAAUUCCUUGUCGGGUAAGUUCCGACCUGCACGAAUGGCGUAAUGAUGGCCAGGCUGUCUCCACCCGAGACUCAGUGAAAUUGAACUCGCUGUGAAGAUGCAGUGUACCCGCGGCAAGACGGAAAGACCCCGUGAACCUUUACUAUAGCUUGACACUGAACAUUGAGCCUUGAUGUGUAGGAUAGGUGGGAGGCUUUGAAGUGUGGACGCCAGUCUGCAUGGAGCCGACCUUGAAAUACCACCCUUUAAUGUUUGAUGUUCUAACGUGGGCCCCUUACCGGGGUUGCGGACAGUGUCUGGUGGGUAGUUUGACUGGGGCGGUCUCCUCCUAAAGAGUAACGGAGGAGCACGAAGGUUGGCUAAUCCUGGUCGGACAUCAGGAGGUUAGUGCAAUGGCAUAAGCCAGCUUGACUGCGAGCGUGACGGCGCGAGCAGGUGCGAAAGCAGGUCAUAGUGAUCCGGUGGUUCUGAAUGGAAGGGCCAUCGCUCAACGGAUAAAAGGUACUCCGGGGAUAACAGGCUGAUACCGCCCAAGAGUUCAUAUCGACGGCGGUGUUUGGCACCUCGAUGUCGGCUCAUCACAUCCUGGGGCUGAAGUAGGUCCCAAGGGUAUGGCUGUUCGCCAUUUAAAGUGGUACGCGAGCUGGGUUUAGAACGUCGUGAGACAGUUCGGUCCCUAUCUGCCGUGGGCGCUGGAGAACUGAGGGGGGCUGCUCCUAGUACGAGAGGACCGGAGUGGACGCAUCACUGGUGUUCGGGUUGUCAUGCCAAUGGCACUGCCCGGUAGCUAAAUGCGGAAGAGAUAAGUGCUGAAAGCAUCUAAGCACGAAACUUGCCCCGAGAUGAGUUCUCCCUGACUCCUUGAGAGUCCUGAAGGAACGUUGAAGACGACGACGUUGAUAGGCCGGGUGUGUAAGCGCAGCGAUGCGUUGAGCUAACCGGUACUAAUGAACCGUGAGGCUUAACCUUACAACGCCGAAG